Molecule: long non-coding RNA, 5519 nt
Filed under: Medicago truncatula (barrel medic)
Lineage: Eukaryota; Viridiplantae; Streptophyta; Magnoliopsida; Fabales; Fabaceae
Description: long non-coding RNA (MTRU_LNC000326)
Source: RNAcentral
UUUUAUUAUAGAGAAAUACAAUGACUUGGUAGACAAUCAUGAUAAGUGCUAGAGAAAGUUGUAUUUUAAAUGAAUAUUCAAAACACUUUUGUUACUUGUUUUGCAAGUUAUUGAGGGAAAAGCCGAGAGAAAAGUGAUUAUUGCCUUUUUACGCUUUAUCUAUCUUACUUCACCCAUUUGUGCAGGAUUUGAACUCAAGACAUCAAGCAAAGAGAAAAAAUGGAGAAAAGUACAAAGAGGCAGAAAAAUGAAGUCACUCGCCUCAAACUCGCCGUGGCGAGCAGCAAAAGCGAGCAGACCUAUUCAGUCAUCACCAACUCGCAAUGGCCAGAUGAAAGGCGAGCAAUUCCAGUAAGCAACAGAGAUCACACGCCACCAACUCGCAAUGGCGAGUAGAAGGCGAGUCAUCUCGCAAUGGUGAGAGCAAGGCGAGCAAUUCCAGAGAGCAUCAGUUUUUCACACGCCCUCAACUCACAACGGCGAGUGAAAGGCGAGCAACUCGCAAUGGCGAGUGAAUUUAAUCGUGAGGCGAGUUAGGGCGGCCUAAACUCCUCAAAGGCGACGUGGCUCAAACUUAAUGGUGAAGAAACAUCAACUCGCCAUGGCGAAUAGAGUUACUCGCGAGGCGAGUUGAUGCAGAUCAAGAAUUCUAUAAAUAGCCCAUUUAAUCAUUACAUUAAGGGAUCUUAGUUUUUCUCAUACUCUUCACUUGUAAUACUUUUAGAGAGAGAGAUAGGUCUUGUUCUAAUAGAGUUAAAGUGAUAGAAAGUGGAUUCUUCCUCAUUUGUUGAGAGAUCACAAGUUUGUAAUGAAUCCUUCUCUUUCAAUUCAUUCUUGCAAGGCUUCCAUGACAAUGAGUAGCUAAAUCUCAUUUGUUGGGAUUAGAGGUACUUGAUCUUAGCUUAACAUGUAAUCUUUUGAUCUAUAAAUAUAUGGUUCUAGCAUUUGAUUUGAUAUUGAUGUUAUUCUUGCACUUUAAUGUUUAUGUUUGAUUUGAUUGUGAUUGAGAAAUACUUUUGAAUCUAGGUUUAGAAUAAUCAUCUAUCAAAACAUAAGUUCUAGAUAUGGAAUUGAUGUUUUGAUAAUCACCUUUUGUAUCCAAACUUAAAGCUUUCUUAUCAUUCAAUAGAUUGAGAAAUCAUCGAUUAAAUGAUAAGACCGACUCUUGAAAUAUUCAAUAGUUUGAGACAUUGACGAUUGAAUGAUACAAUUGAUUUCACAAUAUUGUUUGGACACGAAUGGUGUUGUCGAGGGAUACGUGAUAAUAUCAAAGAAAAGUUAGAAUCCAUAUAUGGUCAUUAGGUUACGUGUGACGCUUGAUUAAGGAACUCUAAUCCUAACAAGUUUCACGCCUUAUUAAUCUCAAUUUUAUUAUUCGCAACUUAGUUACUAAAACAAACAACAAAUUAUCUUUUAACUUAGAAUUAUAUUAGGUGUCAAACGGUCUGUGAUAUCGCACUAGUCCUUGAGGAGACGAUAUAAAUACUUACUAUUGGUUGAUGCAAAAAUACUACAUCAAAUCACAAUAGUAUGCAUGGGCUAAAUGUAUGGUCAAAUAACCCAGUUGCUAAACGGACAUCCACCACUACUAGAAAAAGCAAAAUUAGUAAGGGAAAUUAGUGACGGAAAAAAUGAAAUUCCUCACAAAUUCCUUGGUCGCAAAAUUUAGUGAUGGAAUUAGAGAGGGAUUUCAUGUUUUCCCUCAUUAAAUAUGAUCCCUUACUAAUUUUUGUUUUUUUAGUAGUGCACUUGUACUAUUAAUAACACUCCUCACUUGGAUAGCCAUCUAGUAUAUGCCUCGUUAAAACUUUACUGGAGAAAAAAUUCCAGUGAAGGAAAAAGGGUACAACAUCAUUUUGUGUCAUAAUCUGCCUCGCUUAAAACCUUGCCAUGAAAACCCAAUGAAAUAAACCAUGGUGAUGACUAUAUUUGGCAAGUGCAUCAAAUUGUUUUCUAGUAAUAAAUUAGCGAGUAAGAAUGUCCUCACAUGGUUUGUCGUUUCAACUAGGCAACUAGCUAAAGUUAUUAAAACAAUAAACAAAAGCAUUAACCGUGGGAGUUUGCAAAUUUGAUUUGAUUGUGCAAAGUGACUAAGUUGAUUGCGGAAGUAAAGGGUUUGAUUGCAGAAUGUGGCGGAAAUUUGAAUUCUUUAAAUCCCUCUAUUUCUUUGUUGGAUUAAUUCAGAAAAUUAUCAGUUAUGAGAUAAGGUUCUAUUUAGGUGGCUAGUUCGAUGGGAUUUAACGUUACUUCAGAUGUCAAUCCUUUUGAGAUCCAAAUAUGGUUUAAUAGUUAUUAAGGUGGGGACUUACUCUCUCAUAGGUAAUUGAAACAAAAACGAAGUUAAUAUUCCUAAAUUGUUAUAAAAAAGAACCACCUAACCUUUAGAAUCUUAGAAGUUUACCUCAUAACCUUACUUGUCCCUAGUAGAUUAAAUGGAUAGGCCUAACCUUAUCCUACUAAGGGAAGAUAAUAAGGUUUAUACGCAAUAUUCAGAAAAUUGAUUAGAAAUAUCUCUGCAACCUAUUUGCAUGUUCGGCCAAAUGCUUAGGUAUGUUACACUCCCUAUGAUUUGUGGAAACAUUAUUAAGCCUUUUGCAUAUAAAAAUUAAAUAAAUUUCAAAAUAUAGCUGAAUAAAAGACUUAAAUUUUUUAAAUCCAAAAAACAAAUAGAUGUGAAUUGAAGACAAAUUAAAAAAACAAAUAAAACAUACUCUAGAAACAAAAGAUGAGGAGAUACUCCUCUAUUGAUUCUCCUAGCGCUUUCCUUCCUCUUAAACUACCACAUUAUGAAUGAAAAAAGUGAAUGAAGGUUCUUGUAUUUAUAUACUACAAGUUUUCAAUUAGGUUUGAGUUGAAAAACUGAGAUUUUUCCACAAACCCACAUAGAAAAAACAAGGAAAACCCUGUUUUUACUCAGCCUUGCGUGCGCCCUGCGCAUGUGGUCAUGUGCAUCGUGGCACGUGGCUUCAACUCCUAUGCGAUUUUGCCUUUUUCUUCGUUCUUUUGAGUGCUUUCUUCCUCCAAAUUAGUAUUCGGACUUGGGACAGAUUUCCAAAAACUUGUAAUAUCUUCAUAGGCUUAUUGAAUCUUUAUUCCAUUUAUUCCACUUCUUCGUGAGGUGUCAUGCUUUGCCGAAUUAUAUGAUGUUUCAAUAGAAUACUUAUAAAAUACCUAUGAAUUUUUCGAUUUAUGAAAAAACUAUAAUUACAUGACUUUAUAUGAAAAUAUUACGAAAUGUCCCUUAAACCAUGCAUGAACAAUUUCUCUAAAACUUUACUUUAGAAUCUUUUCCAAUAUGUUUUCUUCAUUUUUAAUGGACGAGACUUUUAGUCUCUUUCACAAGUUACAACACUAUUCAUUGACUAGAAUGAUGGUGCGGGAAAAUAUCUCUUACCUUAGGCGCUUAUCUUCUCAAUCCCAAGAAAAUGGUACUACAUAUUGAUUUUUGAACGAGGCACGAUCAAACUUUAAAAGGUAAAUUCUAUAAGGUUAGAACCAAAACUAAAUAGAAAAGAGUAAAAUCUAUUCCUUUAUGGUAUGUUUGGAUGGAGGGUUUAAGAGGGGAAAGGAGGAGAAGAUUUAAUUUUCUUUUUUAAAUUAUAGAUAUUAUAAAAUGAUUUUUAGAAAAUUGAAUUAACAACAUAAUAAAUAAUUAUAUAAUACUUCAAAAACACUUAAUUUAUUUUAAAAAAACAUUUUGCAUUGUUCGUAAUUUAAAAAUUAAAAGUGAACCCUCCCCUCUCUUUCCCUCAUAAACCCUCAAUCCAAACAGACCGCUGCUGACCUGCACCUCCUAAUUUUUGGCUUGGAUUGUCCUUUCGAUUUUUGUGCUAUGGAUUAUUUUUACUCCCACUACUAUUUCAUUUCAGCAAUCAUUCAUCUUUAUACUCCAACCAGCUUCAAUAUUUCGAAGAGGAAAACCUCAUAAGAAAGCUCGCUAUUUUUGUGCUCGCUUUGUUUUCUGCAAUUCCUCACCUUUGAGACACAAGAAAUGUUGAAACUAUUGCUUACAAGAAUCAAACUCGUAUUCAUGAUUGACCACAGUAAAGAAAAAUGGAAAGAAAGUAUUGCUAGCAAGCAUGCAAUUUUUAUCAAUAUUAGAAUAUACUUAGCAAGAAAGAUUUCUAAAAUAUUUAUUGGUGAACAUUUGUGUUAAACUAGAGUAGUAAUUUGUUUCUCUAACUUGGUUGUUAAAUCCCCUCAUCAAACCUUGCACGUUAAGCUUUGAUUCCAAUAUAAAUGCACUCUAGAUUACUCCAAUUGCUGCUUGAGUAAUUUCUUCCUGAAAAAUCAAAUGUUAAGAGGUAAAUGACUGAGAUAUUUUUUUGAAGAAAAACCAUUAACAGUUUUCUAUUGACGGGCUUCUACGCGAAAAAAUUAGAGAAGGUAUAAACAGAUAUGAUAAAAUGUGAAGAACCAUCCUCCCUUCAUUUAGUUGCUGCUCUAAAUUUUAAGAAUAUCUAAAAAUUUAUAUUAAUGGGAAAUAAGUUAUAUGCCUCUGCAAAAUUAAUUCAAAAAAUGUGACUGUAUAAGAAAAUUCCAGAAGAUUUUUGUUCUUGUUAGUUAAGAUUUUGUUGAGUAUUUAAAAAUCUACAUAAACGGGAAAGAAGUUAUGAUGGUUUCUUCUUCAAAACCUAUGCUGUAAACUGGUUUUAACUAUUCUUGCGGUUAUUAUUUGAAGUUUCCUCUUAGCAACCCAAGAAUGGUCAACUAAACAGAAUUUAACUAGUAAUAGCAUUAACUUAUCCAGAUAUAGAUUAUUGGCUGGCGACAUAAAAGAAAAAAUGUACCUGAAAUGGAAGUGUGAUUCUUCAUUUCCUUUGCCAUGGCUCAUAUUAUCACUUCAUAAUUUAUUUUUAUGACAGGCAUGUGAGCGAUCUUGGACACAUGACGACUUCUCCGAUUGGCAUAUCUUGCUGUUAAUAGCGGCUUCCAUUAAUGUUCAAUAGCUUAAGAGAGAAGGGAAAUUCAUCUCUUCCAUCACAGCAAUUUUCUAAGUACAAAUCCACAAGUGAUGUGCAAUUGCUCCACGUUUUAGGAAAUGCAGUGAGAGAGGAAAUAUAAGUGAGUUGCAAGUGUUAAAGACAAGUAGAGCUCAGAAACAUUUUAGGCAGAGACAGAAUCGUGUUACUAAAUUAACUUGCAAAAUUAUAAGUUUCACAAGUCUCUAAACCGUCUAAAAACCAUCCAAAAAUGCAAGUUUCUAAAGUUGUUACUAAAACUAUCCAUCAAAAAAAUUUUGUUAAUUUGUUUAAAAGUUUAAUCCUUCUAAAUUACAAACCUCAAACCUAAAGAACCCUUUGUGUAAUUUAGCCAAAAUAAAAUGUAAAAGAAAUAUAGUGAAGCAGUUUGGACAUAGAUAUAAAUUAUAGGAUAGAGUAAAAUAAACUAAUUUUAAACAUAUCUAAAGUAUGAUAAAGGGUUCUGUUUUUCAGGAGGAGCUUUUGGGUCUCAUUUUGGCUAUGGAGUAUGCAGCUGCGAAUAAUUGGACUCGUUUAUAGCUUGAAAGUAACUCUUCC